Molecule: ribosomal RNA, 766 nt
Filed under: uncultured bacterium
Lineage: Bacteria
Description: bacterial SSU rRNA
Rfam family: Bacterial small subunit ribosomal RNA
Source: RNAcentral
AGUCGACGGUAACAGGUCUUCGGAUGCUGACGAGUGGCGAACGGGUGAGUAAUACAUCGGAACGUGCCCGAUCGUGGGGGAUAACGAAGCGAAAGCUUUGCUAAUACCGCAUACGAUCUACGGAUGAAAGCAGGGGACCGCAAGGCCUUGCGCGAACGGAGCGGCCGAUGGCAGAUUAGGUAGUUGGUGGGAUAAAAGCUUACCAAGCCGACGAUCUGUAGCUGGUCUGAGAGGACGACCAGCCACACUGGGACUGAGACACGGCCCAGACUCCUACGGGAGGCAGCAGUGGGGAAUUUUGGACAAUGGGCGAAAGCCUGAUCCAGCCAUGCCGCGUGCAGGAUGAAGGCCUUCGGGUUGUAAACUGCUUUUGUACGGAACGAAAAGACUCUGGUUAAUACCUGGGGUCCAUGACGGUACCGUAAGAAUAAGCACCGGCUAACUACGUGCCAGCAGCCGCGGUAAUACGUAGGGUGCAAGCGUUAAUCGGAAUUACUGGGCGUAAAGCGUGCGCAGGCGGUUAUAUAAGACAGAUGUGAAAUCCCCGGGCUCAACCUGGGAACUGCAUUUGUGACUGUAUAGCUAGAGUACGGCAGAGGGGGAUGGAAUUCCGCGUGUAGCAGUGAAAUGCGUAGAUAUGCGGAGGAACACCGAUGGCGAAGGCAAUCCCCUGGGCCCGUACUGACGCUCAUGCACGAAAGCGUGGGGAGCAACAGGAUAGAUACCUGGUAGUCACGCCUAACGAUGUCACUGGUUGUGGUCUCCU